Molecule: non-coding RNA, 11349 nt
Organism: Xyrichtys novacula (pearly razorfish)
Lineage: Eukaryota; Metazoa; Chordata; Actinopteri; Labriformes; Labridae
Source: the annotation of a GenBank genome assembly
UGUGUAUUAGCCUAAUCUGCCGUCUUGGCUGAACUGGUGUUCAAAGAAUUAUGAGAUAUGCCGACCUGGAAGGGUGAGCCUCACAGCUCAAACGGUUACCUGUGGAGCUCAGAGAUAAUCUUACAAUCUGUGAACAGCCCAACAAAAGGUUGUCAUGGUCACUUCAUGUAGGAUAUUGGCUUGAAUAUAUUAAAAGGAAUAGUCCGGUGUAGAAUUAAUUUAAGGUCAAACACUGUAACACAGAGUUAGACACCCUCCCAAGAGAUGAAUGUUGCCGACCGCUUGCUUCUCUAGUUAUACAAACUUUAGUAACGACCGCAGGAUAGCAAUACACAGAACCAUGCGCUCAACCAAAACGCCACUCUAUAGCCACAAAUAAUGCCCAGAACAGCACCUAACUUCAUCAGCAGUACAUAUAGGGUCCUAGCCAUCGCACUAGCCACCAAACAUUCUUUUUAAUUUUGCCUAAUUUCUUUAGCAAAGAGACUAAACACAACUCACCUACUCUCUUCCAGCAGCCGCUUGUCUGUAGCGACACCUCAGGCCAAUCCAUUACGGACUGCUGCAGGGUGACGCAGCUCAAGGAAGAACAUUUAUGAUCAUUUCUUCAUGGAAAUGCAAUCAGACCGAGACACUAAGGCGGAAGAACUACUUUGUCGGCAGAGCAAAAUAAUAAAUAUGGUGAUUAUUACUUCAAGGAAAUGAUAAAGUAAUGAUGUUACAGUGUGUUUGACCCUAACUUAAUUUUAAGCUGGAAUAUCCCUUUAAUCAUAAACAGAGGUAUUUCUCCUCCUUGUUGAAGUGAUAAUUUUCGUACUUAAUACUGAGUGAAAGCAGAUUCCAAUCUUGCUCUUUAGGAUUGAAUUUGUGGUGGGACUGCAACCUAUCACAAUUUGGAUCAUGCAUUCUGGCUGUAAAUCUUAAGCCAAAAGCAUAAAUAGUCAAACACAGUGUUUGCUUUCCUUUCAAUGCAUAAUGUCCCCACAAAAGUGCUCAUUUGUGAGCAAAUUUCUUCUCAGUGUGGCUCUUAGUUUGAAACUGUUUACUCUGGAGAAUCCAUCCGUCACAUGUCUGCUGUCUCAGAUUGAUGAUCCAUUCCUGCCAUCUGGUGCGCUGCGUGGUGCACCCAUUUUUCACUUACAAACAGGGAUGAUGUUGACAGCUUGAAUUAGCCAGCAAACAUAUAUAUCGCUUUAAAUUGUCAUGCCAGGAAAACAUCGGUGGGUCUAGCUGGUAAUGACAAAGCCGAAGUUACCUGCUGGCAACAGAUGUCUUUCAGCCCAGAGUGAAAGGUUCAGCUCUAUUAAUGCUUGUGAUCUCGUGCCAGCAGUGCCAUAUACCACUGAGACCUUCUCCUUCUCCAUCUAUCAUGCAUUAGAUGCCUCUGAACCCCAAUUAGCCCAGUUAGAGAAGGGACUGCCUUCAUCAUUACCAGGUCCCCACUGAAACAACAGCUCAUCGCAGCUUUCAGUGUGAUCAUCCCUCACAGUUUCCUAUGUAUCCGUGGAGUGUAUAUUUGUUGAAGUGCAGCUUGCUAGCAACCACUUUGUGUGUCUCACUCUGUCAGACUGUAUGCCUUCAGAUCAAAACGCCUUUCAUCAUGGUGCUCCUCCGAAAAGCAAAAUAUCUCUCCCACACCAAGCAAAGAUAGAAUUUAGCAAACAAAGUGGAUCACACUGUGAACACAGAGAUGCCAGGCUUCGUUAUGAUUUUCAGAGGAAGAGGAAGUACUUCACAAUUACUGAGGAGGGGGCAUGCUUAAUGACUAGAAAUGGCCGAUCCAGAUGGCCUCAGCUGCAGGGUGGUGGCAAAGAAGAGGCCGGCCAGUUUGAUACAAGACUGAUAAUCUGUCAAGAAAAUCUGCAUCCUUUAGCGAGUCGCCAAUACCUCAGGUUUGAUUUCUCAAUGAUUUUGUAUCAUCGACUCUGCUGUUAUUUGUUAUAUUUUAGGCAGCAAGAAGAAGCCGAAUUAGUCAUCCGAGUUUCCCAGAAACUUUCAGAAAGAGGUCCUUGCAAUAAUUGGGAGCAGUAUAGGCACACAGGCUUGAAUAAUGAUAUGCAGGAGCUAUGUGUUUACGAGCAUGUGUGCAUGUGCAGACUGAAGGCCAAGGGGAGUCAUAAGGCGGUCAUAAUUAUGUCAUUAAAAAGAGUGACAUCUGGAACUCAGGGGCCAUCAAGUAACAAAGAGUACCAACCUCCUUCCCUCCUUUGCCCCCUGUGACAGUGACAAUCGACUCACAUCUCCCAGCAAUCUGCCCAUCUCUCACGAGGGAGCGAGGCGUGAGCUGCUGUGGCGUUGUGGUGGUGCAAAAAGAGGGGGGAGGGGUGAACAGGUGGCGGGCAUGAGGAAAUGGAUGGGGAAUGUUUUGAAUGGGAAACUUGCUUCCAUUCCUCACGGAGUACCUGGGAGUCUGCCCUUCACCGGUGGUCCAAGAGGCACAGCGAGGACGGGGGAGAGAUGAAAUGGGAACAGGUGGUGGUUUGUCGUUUUACGAGGAAUGGAGUUCCCCCUGUAGAUCUGCCAAAGCACUGCCAAUAGAGUGAUAUGGGCCACGCCUUCACAACAGGAACCCCACCCUCCCGCUGGAUGCCCUCAAAGGGGUACUUACGGUAUGGAAACAAAAAGGAUUAACAAGAAGCUCACAAAUGAUGAUUGGCGGGUUGUAAAUGAAAAUUCCCAUUCCUCCACUAUCUAUUGUAUGAAGUGAAGAGUCCAAUCAGGACAGGAUUUAACUCAAAGACACUUUAUAAAGAGCGAAUUCAACAUCCAAGCAUUGCCGCUGUGGUGGGUGGUUAUUUUAGAAAAUUUGGAUUUCAUACCAAUGUCCAGGGAUCCGUGAUAAAUGCGCCAUUCAAAAGCAUUGCUGUAUCUUUAUUUUCUUAAAGGGCAGCAGCAUCAGAGGGAGGUUAAGUAUGCUGAAAGAAGCACAAAAAAAAGAGUCCAUAUCAAAGAAAAUAUUUUUGGACAGUAAUCACAUCAGGUUUUUAGCUUCAAUACUGACACUGAGAUGCAGAAAGAGGGAUAUGAGUAGAGAUAAAAACAGUCAGACCACGAUAGAGACAUACAGACAGCAACAAAAGCAACAACAGAGAACAGUCACAGAGGCAACGCUAAAGAUAAAAGUAGAAAUAUGACCAAUAUUUGCAAUAACAACAGGAUAAAUGUUAGCAUACGCACGAGAGGAAGGUGAACAAUGUGAGAUUAAUGACAUACCUGCCUCAAUCUGUUUUUGGUCGAGGGCCAAACUACUUUCAUUUUGUACUUUGAUUGAAUCGCAGUCACACUCCCCACUCUUUGAACUGCCACUGUCCCACAUGUGCUCCCUCAUCUGAGAUGUUGCAUUGUAAUUAACAGCUCCCCCAACCUCUGAGUGUGCAUUACUCAGCAGGGCCUCGCCCUCCCCCGCAGCGAUAUCCUAUUAAUAUCCACCCCCCCUAAUUCUUUCUCCUGGUACUGUAAUGUUUUGGCCACAGAAGCUUAGGGCAUUUUUAGCCUCUCCGGUGCAAUGAGCUCAAUCUCACACCUCUGGUACAAGACACCUGUCUACCACAGGAAGCAUGGUUAUGUGCUUUGUGACUUUGUAAUUGUGCCUCAGCCCAUGGUGGCAGCAAGAAAAGUACUCUAAUUGCCAUUGCAUAUGCUGCUAUUCAUUCUUUUUCAGUAUAACAUCGCCGACAAUUAAGCUGGAGUUGUAAUUCCUCCUCCUGGAUAUGAUAUUUUCUCAGUUUGAAUGGGUAUCCAUCAUCUUUACUCUGUGUGACAGAUACGCUCAUGGAUUUUGCCUCUUAGUCACAGCUUUAGGAUGGCUGCAUUUGGUUGAAUCACUGAGAUGUAUUUUAAUUGUACUGCUGUACAUCACUGGCUAAUAUCCAUCAAAACAACACGGGCAAAAUUCAAUUCUUAGAGAUAAGCAACUUCUGAGGAGAAACUACAUCUGCGAUUGUGCUCGUUUUAUUAUCUAAACCUAAAAACAUUUGAUGUUGUUGCCUACGCAUUCUUACAUUGUCAAUUGAUUGUACUCUGUCCUAAAUGCUAUUACAGUUUAUGUUAAGCUCCACAUUUUCUCCUCAGAAUUGAUGUCACAGUGUUUGUCUCAUUUACACCUACUGACAAAAGGUGCAAAUAUUUGACAGCCGUGUUAAAUUCGAACCUUGAAUAUCUCUAAAAUGCAUAAUAAUAGGAGAUUGCUUCAAGGAACACCUCUAGAAAUAGUAAAGAAAGGUGAUUUAAAGUUUCACACCAGACAAGCUUGAAGGACCGGCAGUAGUUUUGUAAAAGUGUAAGUUAAUAAAAUAGCUGAAAACUUUCACGAUGCAUAUCAAUGAGGAUUAUCCUUGGCUUACUUUUACAGCUUUAACACUGAAUUUGAGAAUAGCCUUUAAGUCUCAUAACUGGCGGUGCGUCUUUAUUAAUGGUAAUUUCUAUCUGAUCAACAAUUAAAAGGCCCAUCAACAGAUUCAGAUAGAAGCAGUGGAUAGACCAAACAGACUUUGCUUCUUCCAAGUCACAAAGCUGAAAUCUGUGUUUCCCAGUUGUUUCCAAGAUGCAGCACCAAUAGAAGCAUUUCCACAGCAUUUGGUUCAGGUAUAAAAGUCCAGAGACUUCAGGUUUCUUUAGCAUGAACCCUUGCCCCCAUUUUGCCAACACCCCUCAUACUUUCCCCAAGCACUGCCAUCAUGAGGUUAGGGCUGGGCGAUUUGGGAAAAUGUUUGAUACAAUAUAUUUUUUUCACAUCAGACGUAUCAGCAUUGCGUAGAAGAAGAGGACUGAAUGGUCAGCUGUUUCAGCUGCACAGGCGCCAUGGGCUCCUUGCUCCGCUUGGGGUUUGUAACCUUUUGCAUUGUGCGUGCUCUGCCGCAUGGCACUGCUUCAGGUGGUGAAAAAGACUUGAGGUAUUCCCAGACUUUGCGAGAACAUGUACUCAACAUAAUUAGCAGUACAUAUUACUCUGCUUCAAGUCCGACCUAAAAAAAAACCCAAAUACCUCCACACCACUGACGUUUUCGUGCAUCUGUUGAGCCUUCAUCUGCAUUUCUGCUGGGGGUAACACUCAUUUUCUUUUUUUCUCCCCAACAGUGCUGUCUGCUUCACGUGUUAAAGUGCUAUGGUUGCGUGUAGCUGCAGCCUUCUGCUAUGCAGUUGUUUGCUACUUGGUUCUAGUUCAGCACAUGAUUGGUUCAGCGCGAAGCGGACCUGGGGCAACUCCCCUUUUCAUUGGCUAUUCAUAUAGUCUACCAAAACAUGGCAGAAUGCCGACUAUCAAAAAGGAUAUUGACCAUGUUUCAUAUUGAUAUUGAGAGAAAUUAAUUUUUGAUAUAACAUAUUUUUAUCUCCCAGCCCUACAUGAGGUCAAUAUAUUUAUAUUUCCUUGGCUGAUUGUUUUGUAGAUUUUGAUGCCCUGUGCUACAGACAUUCAUGGUCCCCAGGGGAUGAAAUCAUGAAAGGUAUAGGCAUGAUGUUGACUCUUAUCCUGUUUAUAUAAACAUAAGAUUCAAUGACAGCAAAGCCACUAGAUGCCACAAGAAGGAACAGAAAACUGUAUAUUAAUAAUUUUUGUGAUUUCGUUGCUCCAGCACUUUCAAAUAUGGUAUUUAUCCAAAGUGUACACAGUUUUCUUCCCUCUGAUGGAGAAGAUCAGAGGAGCAGCCUCUAUCUCUAACAUUGAUGUAAAUCUAAACCAGCACACACGGGUAGCUGGCUUGAAAGUGAAGCCUGGAGGGAAGUCUUUUAAAAUCAGAUCCAAACUGAAGGAAUUGUGAGCAAUGCUGGCCAGUGCUUACAACUUGUAGCUACACAUGGUCUCUUCACCAGCUGAUUUUCUGUUAUGUUUGGUUAUUGAUCGGCACCGUGACGCCAGGCACUAGCACAGUUCAAGACAGAGAGGUAUCAGAGGAGAAAUGUAUCUUUGCUUUUUUGCACAACCUCAUAUUGUGAAGGGAGACCUAUUUAUUACUUGUAUUGUAACGAUGACUGGGGCUAUUUUAGCUAGGUUAACUCAGUCUCCUUACACGUUCCAUCAUCUAAUCUUCCUGACGUUGUCUCCAUGCAGCCAUUUAUUGAGUCCGUCCGUCUGUCAGCCCGUCCUUGCUCCCCUGAGCUCCCUGCAGUCAUGUAGACUCUGCUUGAAAUCCUUCAAUCCCAUUAGGCUUUGUAAGUAUUUCUUUGCCCAAUGUCUGACAAGUUAAACAAAGAAUCCUUGUCCUGAAUCUGUCCUCUUCUUUUCUUUUUAAAAAAUCAAGCAGCAGCAGAGAGAAAGGCAAGUCCUUUAAAUACACCUUUGCCAUAUAAUGGGUGCCAAAUGCAACAUGGCAUAGCAAAUGAAAUAGUCAUUCAUAAUUUAGGAUUAGGGUUUUUAAUGGGUGACUCCCAGUCCUGUAAUACAGUGCUCCUUCAACAGUUUCCAGUUUGUAAAUAAUGUAAUGCAGUCUUAAUGAGUCAAAGUGGCCACGGGCCAUGCAAUAGUAAUGAAGGCUGGGAGCGGGCAUGAGCCGAACUGAGAUAAUUCUGUUUGAGGAGGACGGUCAAAUAUCCACAGCUGUCAUUAGACACAUCUGCAGGGAUGAAAGAAUGUGUUCCUUUUUAUUUAUUCAUCUCACAAACUGUCAAGUGCUCUAAAGGCUUGGUUUGUUCAACGUCAGGGUACAAAUGAAGAGAAAAUGCAACGAGUGAGGAGACAUUUCCUGAUUGCGAGCUUGCAUAAAUUUUAGGAGAUGGUGUGUACAUUAUUGUGCGAGAAAGAAAAAGUAAUUCUCAUUUGUCAUUUGGUAUCUGUGACUCAGCACAAACUUAAAAACGUAAAUUUAGUUAAUUAAGACAACCAUCAGACGGGUUCUAAUGGCAAACAGCUGGAGCUUUUUAUACAACACCUAAUGUUGUUAUCUUUAGGAACACCUUUUUUAUUUCAGCUCAGGUCUCAAAGGUCAAAGCAGCCUCUCGAAUCAAAAUCAAAACCACUAAACCGCGCGCUGAUUGAGCCUGAUGAGAAAAAAAGAGUCUUCUGCAAAGAGUGCUUCUGUUUUAAGGGGUUUAAGAGACAUGAAGUGGUCUUUGUGGUGUGUGAUAUAAUUUCUUUGCAGGAAAAAGCAAAAAAAAAAAAGACACUAACAACGACAAAAAAAAAAACAAAACAAAGAAAAGCACAUUUGCAGCCAUUUGGCUUUUUAAGCAUCUUAACCACAUGAAAGACAUCAAAACGUGUCAGUUUGACUAAGUAGCUUUAGCCCAUGCAUGUCUGCUCCUCCUUCUGAAGCGUGCCAUUCAGUUUUAAGUAAUAAAAUCCUUCCAAAUCCCCUGAAGGAAAACAGCAGCUUAAGUAAGGUUAAUGUUCACUCUAUCUGCUUUCUUCUUUCUCUGCAAGAUUAUAUUGAAAGAUGUGAAUUACCUCUAUCAAACAAGCAGUGAGCCACAAUGAAAUGAGAGUAAAGGACAUCAAGAAGUGACCCAUGUGCAUAAUGUCAAAUUCUAUCAGUGAGCCUCUCUGGUGAAAAGGGGAAUAAUUACUAUGCAUUAGCUUUGUUGAAUAGUGCGGUUAUUAAAGAGAUACUAUUAUUAUAGAGCUUUGACAAUGUGACAUUUUUGUCAGUACAAGCCCAUGUUGUUAAAUCAUCCCGUUGAAGUUGCAUUCGUCAUUGCAACCCUAAUUCCUCAAGUAUAAAAAGGCACAAUGGUGAAUUUUGCAUUAUCUUGCAUGACCCAUAGAUGUCCUUGUUCAGCAACUCUUCCUGCUCUGCCUCUGUUCUAAAAAUAAGUCACCUCUUUUAAGGGGUAUAAAAUGAAAAGAGUAUAUCGUUUCCCUGAUGUAAGAGACUAUACUGACACAACAUCACACAUGUCUGUGAUAAAGAUAUGAGCCAUGUGUUUCUCUCCCUCUUUUCUUUAGUCAGGUUUAAUUUGGAAUCACAGCUUUUCUCCAAUGCUCUGUGUUUGUCAUGCAGUUAUGAAUAUGUUACGGAGGGAAGCUUUUUGGAAGCUGCAGCAGUGCAGACUCAUGUCCUCUGUAGCCUCUACGGGGGUUUGUGUGGUUCCGUGUCUGAAACACGAGUUGAUCUAAAUAAGCAACAAGCUGGCAAUGUCUUCCACUGAUUUACACAUUAUGAAGACAAAGAGAAAAGUCCAGACGUUAUCCCAAGUUCUUGUGUUUGAAAGAAAAAAAUCAACCCAGACUGCCUGUAACAGAUUUGACUUGCAGGUAUGAUUAUCUUUCAUGAUUAUUCAUUAUUUUCACUGCAGCUUGAAAGAGUGCUUUUAGGGUCUUUUGUAAUAAUUCUUUCUUUUUCUGCAGCCUCAAACUUUGAAGUGAUUUUUGAGUCUUAUUCAUGUCUUUUAGGCUUAAAGAUUCAAUAUAAUGAAAAACACACUUUUCUUCUUCUUUGUUACAUCACCACAGGAGAUAAUUCAAACCUGAGAGUGUAGAUGCCAAAAAGCCUGAGCAAUGUAGCUGUAGCCCACCAGGGAAAACAUAGUAUUGAGAGGUUGGUUUGAAUUUUCUCCUGUGGUGAUGUAACAACAGGAAUGAUCUGCAUAGAAACGCAUGCAAAAACAUUCCCAGGUCUUGAGCGAUGCUGCAGCUCCUGCACUUUUGUCGUUUUUCCUAUUGUGUUGCAGAGUGAAGAUGUCUAAGAGACGGUAACUGCUCUGUUGCUGGGUGUACAAACCAACACAAAUGUCUUUGUUCAGUCCCAGAGCUGGAGGAUAAAAGACGACUUUUUAUUUAUAAAGACAAACUGCUGGUGACAGUUGGUGCCCAUUGGCUGCUUGUUUGUUGUUUGUACCAAUUACCUGCCACCUUGGACUGCCUUGACAACAGGGUUUGCUUUGGCAUCAGCCCUCAUAAAGGAAUCUACCAACAGUUUGUGACUUGACAACAGAUGUGUCAUCAGCUUGUGGAGCCACUUUGUGAUAGUAUUUUAAGUUUGUGGCAGCGUGGUAAUUCUUCUGGAUCACUCGCCAUGUCUGUUUUUGUGUUUUUCCACCUCUGCAUUUCUAUGCUCAAGUCGUCACCCCCCUUCCUAAAACAAUAUUUAGGCAGCCAAUCAGUACAUCGCCUCACUAUCAAAGCUUCACUGCCCACUCAGGUGAGUGUAAGGAUGAUGAGGUUAGACAGAGCCAACCCAAGGCAUAAGCGAACUAAGCGCCUGCUUAGGGCCCCGCAGCCAGUAGGGGGCCCCCCAAGAGCAAUUUAAAAAAAGUAAGAUUUUUUAAUUUUUUGCAUGUAUGAUUGAUGCUUUCUGUCUGAUCAAACAUAUAUAUUAUUGUAAAAAUAAAAUUAAGUAAAUACAUUUUAGUACAAUGUCGCAAAAAAGAACAUAUCCUUCAGGAGCAGAGAAAAGAAAGAGGAAGAAGAGAAAAAACGCUAAGAUAAAAAUAUGUUUGCAUGCCACGGAAUGCUAAUCAAAGAGAUUUGUGAAGGUGUGUGAAUGAUCAAUAAUCAAUAUUACUGGCAGAAAUAGAGAGCCCCAAAAUCAAAUCUUGCUUAGGGCCCCAUUGAGGCUUAGGCUGGCCCUAAGGUUGGAAACUGAGAGUCUACAGAUCUUACACAGAGGCCGAAUAAAUGAUAUUUUUUCAAACCUGACUUAAAAGACAACCAAGACAUGCUGUAAACGGAUAAAAGUACUUUUACAUUCUAUUUUACAGCUUCUUGAAUUACUUCAGACAUUAUUAAGAGUCAAAAGGCUGUGACAAAACCAAGAAGAGUUUGGAAAUCCUGAUCCAGAGCUUAUUUGAACAUCACAACCUGUGGCAUCAUCAUUGCAGGUGUUUUUGUUUAUUCCAGGAGUCAAGAAAUCAUUUUCCACCUUCAGAUAAACACAUUUUGAAUAUAUAAAACUCCUGUCAGGGCUAAAGUGUCUGUAAACUCACUUUCGGAGGUGUAAAUAUGCAGUAUGUAAAGCUUUUUGGAUCUUUGAAUCACAAAGGUAAAAAGACUGUCAGCUCCGGUGCUGCAGCGCCUAGAUCUUAACGAGUGAGCAGACAAGAGGAAUGUGGAGCAGACGUGGGUGGUAUUUAAAACUACAUAUAAAUAAAUAAAAGGUGAAAAUAAAUAAAUAACUCCUACCUACAUCAGUGAGCUGAUAGCUAUCUCUUGUGAGAUCUAUCCAAAUGGAGCAAACGGAGGACAAGCUGCUUAAUUUUGGUGGUUUAGCCUUGAAUCUUCCCGCGGUGAUAGAUUAUUAUUCCACACAUGUUUUAGUGAUAUUAACCCAGUGGAAUUAUCUCUGCAUUGAGUCGAAUUGCACCUUUGACUCGUAUAGGAGCAUGUUUAUGAACAGAUCUUCUUAAUCAUACAAAAAAAAAACUGAGUGGCUUCAUUUUCGUAGGCAUUCAAGUUUCAAUUCUUUCAUCACUUCAGAGACUGGAUACUAUGAAUGUAAGCUAUGACAGAGCACUUUUCAGCCUAUUAUUCAAAUUGAGCCUUCAAAAAAUAUAAAAGGACCCAAAAGAGUAUAGAUUUGUAGAGCUAUUGCCUGCCACUCCUACAAGGGAGGGAAAGAGCCUUUUCAUUGUUCAUUUCGUAGCUGUUACAGACUUUUUCACAUAACCCAGCAUUCACCUGUACACUUCAAGUGCAUGUACAGUUUGAAAGGCAGUAGUUACAGGAUCUGCAGGGGGGAAAAAAAACAACAUUCUGCUUAUGAUGGAGAGAAGAGAGGAGGUUUUAUGAGAGCAAGUUUCAAGCUGACACAAUACAGCUUAAAUAACUUAAUGCUUCCUCUACUCUUGUCUCAGAAAGAAAUCAAGGUGCAAGAAUAACGGCGCAUCAUCGCUGGAAGAGACUGUGCGAACUGCAGUUCUCAUAAUAAAGUAAACAAGGGUUGGUCUACACGUGAAAGAGUAAGGGCUAAAUUGAGUAUUAUAUAAGUGAAAGAAGUGAGAGGAGAGGAGAAAUUCACUAUUUCUGUCUUUUAUUAAUAGUCUUUAUUCUUAUCUAUUUCACUUUCUCGUUUCCUUAAAACCAUCACAGACAGGGACGAGUAUCUAUCCGAAAUUUUCUGGACACGAGUUCUUUCAUCGCUUCAUUUCCAGCUAACUCAGUCACUCUAAGCGCCCCUCUUGGCUGAGUCCCCGGUUAAUGUGAGGUGUAAAGCCAUAAGACUGCCUUAAUAGGUGCUGGUAUAUGGUGUUGGUGGAGCUAAAGCAGAAGCGACUCUGCUGAUAGAACCAAGGGACUUAAUUUACACAUGUACUGGGAAAAAGGUUGUGAGCCACUGGUUCACAGCUUGGUUUGGGUCAGAGAUGAUGAUGCUAGCCAGCCAAGAUGUGUACUUGUUGUUCAUUUGGCAGCCUUAAGGUCCUUGCACACCGGGGUCGAUGCCAAUAUAGAACGCCUGACUAUACACAUCAAGCCCGAUG